Molecule: long non-coding RNA, 1234 nt
Organism: Ostrea edulis (European flat oyster)
Lineage: Eukaryota; Metazoa; Mollusca; Bivalvia; Ostreida; Ostreidae
Exons: 3
Source: RefSeq, a predicted model, not a curated record
AUUAAAACCCCUUCUGGACUCCAACCCUCGAGAUAGAGAUCAGGAGUCAACACGAUAACCGAUUGAGCAACCCAGCAAGACAAUAACAUUUAAUAGUCAUGUCGCAGCAGUACUGUUCAAAGUACAGAUAGUUGUCCAUAUGGGCCUUACUACCAAAUCCUCAACUAGUCAAAUUUGCAGGUGGAACAAUUCAUUUUGGAAAUAGGUAGAGCCAAAAACGAUCCAAGAGUUACAAGAUGUGAUGAUAGCUGGCAAUCGAUCGAAACCGGUGGUGUAUGUGAAGGGAACAAAUGACGACCCCCUAUUACCAGAUGCUGUACCUGAGAGCCUUCAGAAAAUCUGUCCAACGGCUACAUUGUUUGCUACUAUUCCUCCAGUUGGCCCUCCAACUAUUCAGACAGAAGAGACACAGCAGCCUACAGUUGAUGAGACACCUGAAACACUGUACAGGAAGGACUUGGAAAAUGCAGCUGACAAUCACCUCUCCAGUGUGUGAUGGAGUUUGGCAGGAAUACUCUGUGACUGAAGACCAAGCGAGCUAUAUUGAAGGCAGUACAAGAGACCAUAAUGUGUGCCAGUAGAGGUUCGAACACAGGAAAGGUAGAGUCAGAGCCAGCACAGCUCAUGAUGUAUAUAUUCAGAGGGAAACCACUAAACCAGACAACUCAGUGAAAAGCAUUGUUGGAUACCAGUCGUAUGAUUUAAAGCUGUGCGACGUGGGCUCGACAAGGAAGACGUGGCAAGAAAACAGUACCAACGUGCUAUCAAAACAGUGCAUGUGGAUUUUCGUGUGCGAAAAUCUGGUCUCCUAAUAGAUACCAGGAAAUCAUUUUUGGAAGCCCCUUCAGAUGGGAUUAGAGAGUAUAUGUGUUGUGGAGAAGUGCCAAUGGAUAUAAAGUGUCAAUUUAUAAACACAAGGACAACACGAUCAGUGAGGCAGCCUUAUCUGACAAAACAUUUUGUUUAGAUGAUGAUUUGAAAUUUAAGCGUUCCCACAAAUAUUAUACACAUUACCAGAGUGAAUUUCUGUGAAUUUAUUGUGUAUACCAGUAAAAACAUAAUCAUGAACAUUAUUAUUUAAUCGAGAAUUUACAACCGUUGUAGUCUGCAAGUGUGGAAUAUUCUUUAUCCAAUAUGUUUUACCAGACCUAUUGACAAUGCGUCGUCGGAAACCCACGGUCGGUCGCUCUCCGAUUACCUACUGUGGUACACAACGCCAUGAUUAUUGCUGGUA